CAAAAGGUUCUUUUAAGAGCCACCCACUUACUCUUUAAAAAGCAAU
This is a non-coding RNA of Danio rerio (zebrafish), 46 nucleotides long. NCBI's taxonomy places the organism in Eukaryota, Metazoa, Chordata, Actinopteri, Cypriniformes, Danionidae. The record is from Rfam.